UGUUGCGGUGAAUACGUUCCCGGGUCUUGUACACACCGCCCGUCAAACCAUGAAAGUGGCCAACACCCGAAGUCCGAUUCGUCGGCCUAAGGUGGGGGGCAUGAUUGGGGUU
RNAcentral lists this ribosomal RNA (112 nucleotides) under uncultured bacterium. RNAcentral describes it as "partial 16S ribosomal RNA". It matches the Rfam family "Bacterial small subunit ribosomal RNA", at positions 1355 to 1482 of the family's 1533-position model. The record is from RNAcentral.